AUUCAGACCACCCCCCCACCCACCCACACACACACAGACACACAUACAUCUGUUUUGUGCGGUGAAUUCACACAGGAUAAGAAAGGCCUGUACUAUCAUCAGAUUUAUUGACAUUAUCCCCACAUUUGAUGUCCAGACUUAAAUUCUGAAUUGCCAAUGCAGCCAAAUUACACAGAUGCCGACUGACAAGGGACUAAUAUUGUGAAUAUUGUCACACGACCCCUGUGUUUGGUGAAAUAUGGCAGGUGAUUUAUGGUGGCAUUUAAAAUUGACAAAUUACAGACAUGGCGGUCUGCACUUAAGAUCACAGAAGGCCUUCGUUAUUAUUACAAAUCACUAGAUGUCCCCAGGUAAUACCAGUCCCGUGCCAAUUAGAGUUUAAGAAGGUAAAACCUUUUGUUGUGCUGCACUUGGCUGAACUUUCAAUUCCCUUUGAAUCGUGCACUAAGCGCUUAAAUCUGCACUGAAGCCUAAAUUUUAUGACGAGAUAAUAUCUUCUAAAUAGGAGAUAAACUUUUGCACAAUUUUAUUUUUUGACCUUGCCUUUCAAGGCUUCCGUAGGGCCCUGUCCUGCUGCACCAACAUCUCUUUGUACUCUACAGACUUUUGGGAUGUGCUGUGAUUGGCCGGGAUCCAGAGCCUAUCAUCUGUCUUUAAACCUCUCAUUGGACGUUCUCCUCAGUGGUUGUUGCUGCUGACAACACAUGACACUGAAAAAGAAUGACUGUUUUGGGGUUUUAGGUGUCCUUCUCUUGCCGACAAAGAAACCUAUGAGACACUCCACAAAGCCCCCCCCCCCCCCCCCCCCCCCCUUUGUUAUGACUUCAUAUUAACAUCCACUUUGUUAUGACUUCAUAUUAACAUCCACUUUGUAGGAAUAAGCGUCUGUAGAGAGCUUCCAUUUUCUGUACUUUUCUGUAGGGUGGAAACUGUCUCCUUGUGUUCACAGGUAAAAAUGAACUCUGAUAUAACUUCAGUGGUCUCUGUAUAUUCUUGAAAAUGAAAUUAAUCUAACAAUUUUCUACUUUCUAGCGAUGUUUUAUGUAUACAAAUUGCAGUAGAAAAUAGAAUGAGAUGUAUUUUGUAAUAUUAAUAUUUCUGUAGUAUAUUUUUGCUGUGUGAAAUUCACCGCACAUUCAUUGUUGUCUCAUUGUUUGCCUGCUAGAUACAAUGACAAUGACAAUAAACUGCAACACUUCU
Etheostoma spectabile (orangethroat darter) is the source of this 1200-nucleotide long non-coding RNA. RefSeq lists it as uncharacterized. Lineage: Eukaryota; Metazoa; Chordata; Actinopteri; Perciformes; Percidae. The transcript is spliced from 2 exons. The record is from RefSeq and is a predicted model, not a curated record.